Molecule: ribosomal RNA, 466 nt
Filed under: uncultured bacterium
Lineage: Bacteria
Description: partial 16S ribosomal RNA
Rfam family: Bacterial small subunit ribosomal RNA
Source: RNAcentral
CUACGGGACGCUGCAGUCGAGAAUAGUCUACAAUGGACGAAAGUCUGAUAGUGCGACGCCGCGUGGAUGAAGAAGCAUUUCGGUGUGUAAAGUCCUUUUCUGUGUGAGCAAUGUUUUCCAGGUUAAUAGCUUGGAGAAAGCGAUAUUAACACAGGAAUAAGCUCCGGCUAACUCCGUGCCAGCAGCCGCGGUAACACGGGGGGAGCAAGCGUUGUCCGGAAUUACUAGGCGUAAAGGGUAAGUAGGCGGAAUUGUAAGUCAGAUGUUAAAGGCACCGGCUCAACCGGUGUAUGGCAUUUGAUACUGUAAUUCUAGAGUAAGGUGGGGGAAGACGGAAUUCCUGGUGUAGAGGUGGAAUGCGCAGAUAUCAGGAGGAACACCAGAGGCGCAGGCGGUCUUCUAUACCAUUACUGACGCUCAAUUACGAAGGUGUGGGUAUCAAACAGGAUUAGAUACCCUCGUAGUC